Molecule: long non-coding RNA, 301 nt
Organism: Bombus huntii
Lineage: Eukaryota; Metazoa; Arthropoda; Insecta; Hymenoptera; Apidae
Exons: 2
Source: RefSeq, a predicted model, not a curated record
CCGCAUAUUAUAUCCAACGCCGCUCGUUUGGCAUAAGGAACAAUGUCGAAUUCUGGUUUAUCGACUUCCUGACUUAGGCACGAGAUUAAUAUUUGGGCUUCUCUGAUUGCCGUCUUCAAGUAUACUUCCAGAAGACCACUGUGGAAGGUUAAAGAAAUGAAUCAAAAGGGUUUACAUUAAAAGUCACAAUGAGAAAACGGUUAAUGGUGUACUUCCGGACAAAAAGAUAGCAGGUGGCAUAAAUCUGGAAAAUUUUAUUGAAUAACGAACAAAAAUACAGAGAUAUAUUUCAUUAAUUUAA